Molecule: ribosomal RNA, 465 nt
Filed under: uncultured bacterium
Lineage: Bacteria
Description: bacterial SSU rRNA
Rfam family: Bacterial small subunit ribosomal RNA
Source: RNAcentral
CAAGCGGUGGAGCAUGUGGUUUAAUUCGAUGCAACGCGAAGAACCUUACCUACUCUUGACAUCCACGGAAUUCGGCAGAGAUGCCUUGGUGCCUUCGGGAACCGUGAGACAGGUGCUGCAUGGCUGUCGUCAGCUCGUGUUGUGAAAUGUUGGGUUAAGUCCCGCAACGAGCGCAACCCUUAUCCUUUGUUGCCAGCGAUACGGUCGGGGACUCAAAGGAGACUGCCGGUGAUAAACCGGAGGAAGGUGGGGAUGACGUCAAGUCAUCAUGGCCCUUACGAGUAGGGCUACACACGUGCUACAAUGGCGCAUACAAAGAGAAGCGACCUCGCGAGAGCAAGCGGACCUCAGAAAGUGCGUCGUAGUCCGGAUCGGAGUCUGCAACUCGACUCCGUGAAGUCGGAAUCGCUAGUAAUCGUGGAUCAGAAUGCCACGGUGAAUACGUUCCCGGGCCUUGUACACACC